Molecule: unclassified non-coding RNA, 292 nt
Filed under: Hevea brasiliensis (rubber tree)
Lineage: Eukaryota; Viridiplantae; Streptophyta; Magnoliopsida; Malpighiales; Euphorbiaceae
Source: RNAcentral
GCUGAAGAUGUCAACAACAUUCAACAGUUCCAAGGGUAUAGGUGCAUCCAUUCCCCCAGCAUCGAAAAUGACAGGAACACCAGCACUCUUCGCAGCCUUUGCAACUUGGAUAUUUACGGAAUCAGGGAUCUCCCUUUGAAGCAAAAGGAUACCAGCAUUCCUCAUUACCGCCAAGUCCUCAUCGCUCAGUUUCUCAGGCCAACAACUCAUGUUGGCUCCACCAACAAUGAUAAUAGAGUUCUGCCCAUCAGACUGAAGCAUCACCACAGCAUGCCCAGUAGGCACAUCACCA